Molecule: transfer RNA, 217 nt
Filed under: Conexibacter arvalis
Lineage: Bacteria; Bacillati; Actinomycetota; Thermoleophilia; Solirubrobacterales; Conexibacteraceae
Description: tRNA-Leu
Rfam family: tRNA (bases 159-209)
Source: RNAcentral
GCGUCCGUAGCUCAACUGGUCAACGGUAAAUCGAAUAGGUUCGUGCGUGCCUUGGAGCGCCAGCCCUCAAGCCGAAGGGAUCGAGACCAAAUCUUCCCCGUUUCGGUGGCUGAUGCCGCGUUCGCGGCCCUCCUGGGACCGCACACCGCCAAAAGAUGAGCUCAAGAGCUCCAGGUUUAGGGCCUGGAAGAUGCGGGUUCGAAUCCCGUCGGGCGCA